UACAGGGGGGGCAAGCGUUGUUCGGAAUUACUGGGCGUAAAGGGUUCGUAGGUGGCUUGCUAAGUCACACGUGAAAUCCCUCAGCUUAACUGGGGAACUGCGUGUGAAACUGGCGAGCUUGAGGGUAGGAGAGGAAUGCGGAAUUCCAGGUGUAGCGGUGAAAUGCGUAGAUAUCCGGAGGAACACCGGUGGCGAAGGCGGCCUGCUGGGCAGUUUAGCUGACACUGAGGCGCGACAGCGUGGGGAGCAAACAGG
RNAcentral lists this ribosomal RNA (255 nucleotides) under uncultured bacterium. Its description in RNAcentral is "partial 16S ribosomal RNA". It matches the Rfam family "Bacterial small subunit ribosomal RNA", at positions 524 to 776 of the family's 1533-position model. The record is from RNAcentral.